Molecule: ribosomal RNA, 429 nt
Filed under: Chloroflexota bacterium
Lineage: Bacteria; Bacillati; Chloroflexota
Description: Chloroflexi bacterium partial 16S ribosomal RNA
Rfam family: Bacterial small subunit ribosomal RNA
Source: RNAcentral
UGGGGAAUAUUGCACAAUGGGCGCAAGCCUGAUGCAGCCAUGCCGCGUGUAUGAAGAAGGCCUUCGGGUUGUAAAGUACUUUCAGUCGGGAGGAAGGUGGUAAGGUUAAUAACCUUAUCAAUUGACGUUACCGACAGAAGAAGCACCGGCUAACUCCGUGCCAGCAGCCGCGGUAAUACGGAGGGUGCAAGCGUUAAUCGGUAUUACUGGGCGUAAAGCGCACGCAGGCGGUUGAUUGAGUCAGAUGUGAAAUCCCCGGGCUUAACCCGGGAAUUGCAUCUGAUACUGGUCAGCUAGAGUCUUGUAGAGGGGGGUAGAAUUCCAUGUGUAGCGGUGAAAUGCGUAGAGAUGUGGAGGAAUACCGGUGGCGAAGGCGGCCCCCUGGACAAAGACUGACGCUCAGGUGCGAAAGCGUGGGGAGCAAACAGG